AUUAUGGUGGUCGCCACUAGGUAUCAACUAAACGAACAAUUACGGAUUCAAUUUAAUUAAUGUGACAGUAGGCUAUUAAAUUAAAUCAAAUACCCGGCCGUUGAUAUUCAAUUAAUAAAAUACCCGUAAACAAUUAAUUCAGGAAACGCACGAAUAGCAAUAAAGUGGAAGAAAUAAUGAAGAUUUGAUUAGAUCUCACAGAUAUUAUGGACCGCGCCCUCGCGUCAACCUUUGGGUAGAGGAGAAAAUUAGCCGCUCCUCAUCGUGUCAAUCCCGCGUGAUUUAAUUGAAUUCAUUCAAUUAUUUGCCGAAGAAUUGGGGAAGGGGAAGUAAUUGCAAUAACAACAGAGAAGGCCCUGCCUUCGUUUUUGCUUCAGAGUCGCAAUUACAAAGCAAAAAGCUACGAAGGAACUGUCCAGCGGAAAAGUUGAAAGUCAAAAGAGAAAGAGACGUCUAGCGCCUGGGGAAAGAAAAACUAAAGCUACUGUUUUGAUUCGAUGUAAAUCUCGCUAUCUAAUUUGCUGCCGAAGAAGAAACAAAAGCGAAAGAAGGCGUCUAACAAAGAGUAGCAAAAGAAAACUAAAGCUGAGGUCUUCCCCCGAUGAAUGAUACGUGAAUCUGGCUCUGCUUUUCUAUUUGUAGCGCCGCCAGGAGCUAUCAAACGUCUGACCCAAUUCAUCUAAUAAAAGCUAUCCCCUUUGGAGUUUUGAUCCCAUGCGCUUGGUCCACAUGGACCACCUUUUGCUUCCUGAUAUUUCACGCGGGUCCGUCCUUUUUAUGUACAUCCUUCGUUCUCUGGCGUGGUCACGCCAUGAAAUAGAGAGUCUUCUGGAAUUUUGCCUCGUGAAAGCCCUUUUUACCCCAAUCACCUAUAAUUCAUAGAAAUAUGAAAUAUGAGUUAACCCUCAAUACUUAGCACAGUAAAUACCUAAAAUUAGGACAAAAUAACGGUGCAAAAUGUGCCAAAUAACCGCUCUAUCAGUAACAAUAAAAAGAGAAGGGAAAAAUGCUCCUUAGCCGACAAAUUAGUUUUACAGAAAUAGGUAGAUUGGACUAAAACUCAUUAGCUUUUAUUAAAAAGAUUUUUAAUUAAAAAAUUAAAACACUUUGACUUCAAAAUCAACUCUGUCUGGCCCCCCAGAAAAAUUCAAACUUCGUCCAUCGUCGUUAUCAAAUGCAAAUGCAAAAGAAUUUUUUGGAUAAAAAGGCUAAGUUAAUCCAAUCAAUUGAUAACGACAACUUACAUUAUCAAAUGCAAAUGCAACUUCCUUCAGAUAACCAUUGUCGUUAUUUUCAACUAUCAAGUAAUUAGCUGGAGUGCUAGACACUAAUUUUCUUUCGGCGUCAUUUUGAAGAUGACGUUGAAGCUAUCUGCUCUGUGCUUGUUAAGCAAGAACCAGUUACAAGUCCUUCGUCGAAUUAAUGGGAAAAUAGAAAGGCUAUGUUAAUUCAAGCCAGAAAAAAAAGAAAAAAAAA
RNAcentral lists this long non-coding RNA (1476 nucleotides) under Coffea arabica (coffee). Its description in RNAcentral is "long non-coding RNA (CARA_LNC005059)". The record is from RNAcentral. Lineage: Eukaryota; Viridiplantae; Streptophyta; Magnoliopsida; Gentianales; Rubiaceae.